Molecule: RNA transcript, 6488 nt
Organism: Onychostruthus taczanowskii (white-rumped snowfinch)
Lineage: Eukaryota; Metazoa; Chordata; Aves; Passeriformes; Passeridae
Gene: UTP18
Gene name: UTP18 small subunit processome component
Exons: 14
Source: RefSeq, a predicted model, not a curated record
CCGGGUCUGGCGCGCCAUGCGCGACAUGGCGGGGCGGGAGCAGGGAGCGUCAAAAGCGGGGAAAGCAGCCGGAAUGAAGGCGGCGAAGAAAGCGCCUAAAGUGCCCAGAGCGGGUAAAAUGACGAAACCCAAGCGAACGGCGAAGCGGCUCCUGGCCGUGGGGAAUCAGGCGGCGGCCUCUGAGGCAGCGCGGCGCGCCCGCCACCUGAAGGCGCUGGGCCGCGUGUCGGGAGCCGAGCGGGAGCUGGAGGAGCUGGUGUUCGGCGACAGCCUCAACGCGGAGGAGGACGAGCUGCUGCGGCGCCUGGCCGGGCCUCGACGGGUUGCCGCUGCAGAGGGGAAGGGUCUCCAGGAAGAGUCCAGCGAUUCGGGGGUGGAAAAUGAAGCCAAACGUGACUUACCGCUCAAAAAGCCGGCCUGGGUAGAUGAGGAUGAUGAAGCUGAGGAAAAUGUUGAUAUGACCCAUAAGUACAGGAAAGAUUUCAUGAAAAGUGAUGCCGAGACAACGCUCACCAAGAAAAAACUAAAGAAAAGACUUGAGGAACAGUUUCAGCAAGCCAUGGGAGGAGUUCCUGCUUGGGCUGAUUUGGAAAACAGGAAGAAAUCCAAAAGGACUUUGAGUGAUAGUGACAGUGAUGAAGAUGAUGAUCUGCUACGCAGGACUGGCAAUUUCAUAACAAGCUCAGAGUCUCUGCCAAGAGGGAUUUUGAAGGUGAGCACCUGCCUUCCUGCAAACCAGGAACGUUUUGCCAAUGGAAAGCUGGUGACAGUGCAGUUCCAUCCUUCAGCUCAAGUGGUGAUGACAGCUGGCCAUGAUCGCUCCGUGUCCCUCUUCCAGGUGGACGGUAUAAGGAACCCGAAAAUACAGAGCAUCUAUUUAGACAGUUUUCCAAUUUAUAAGGCUCGUUUCAGUGUGGAUGGAGAACAAGUUAUAGCCACUGGCACUCACCACAGCAUGUUCUUUGUGUAUGACAUGAUGGCUGGGAAUAUCAUCCCUAUCCCAAAAGUACGAGGUGUGGAGGAAAAAUUCCUCAGGAACUUCGAACUCUCUCCAGAUGGAUCAUUUAUGCUGCUAAUUGGAACUUCAGGUUACCUUCACUUGCUGUCCAUGAAGACAAAAGAGCUGAUCAGCACUAUGAAGGUGAAUGGAAGGUGCACUGCCUCUGCUUUCACCCCAGACAGCAGUAAAAUAUACAGCUAUUCAAAGGAAGGUGAAGUUUUCAUUUGGGAUGUGAGGAGCAGAAAGAGUCUACAUAAAUUUGAAGAUGAAGGUGCUUUGGAAGGAAAGUGCAUUGCUGUUUCAAAAAAUAACCAGUAUGUGGCAUGUGGUUCAUCUUCUGGAGUUGUAAAUUUAUACACUACUGAUGCCUGCCUCAAAGAAAAACAUCCUAAACCAGUUAAGGCCAUAAUGAACCUUGUUACUUCUGCCACCUGUGUGACCUUUAAUCCCACCACAGAGAUUUUGGCAGUGGCUUCCCGAGACACUGAUGAGGCUGUCAGAUUGGUGCACCUUCCUUCAUACACUGUAUUCUCCAACUUCCCAGUCUUCAGAAAAAAACAGAUUUAUCUUACUCAAUCUAUGGACUUCUCUCCCAGAAGUGGAUAUUUCUCUGUAGCAAAUAACAAAGGCAAAGCUUUGUUAUUUAGGCUGAAACAUUAUUCAUUCUUCUGAAAGAAGAUACAGGAGAAAAUGAACCAGUAACUGAGGUGAAAACAGCACUAGAACUGUUUACAGUGUUGGCUCGAGGAGCCUCAAAAUUUUCACUUUGCCUCCACUACUUUAAAGAUGGCAGGAAGAAUUUCUUAGUCCUGUGUGAUCUGUCCUGCCUGGGUCACUCGUGGGCUGGAGUAGGACUGGCCUUGUCACUCUCAGCUUUUCUGAUAAUGCAGCAAGUUGAUAGUUCAACAAAAACUGCUGUCAGCCAGACUGAGCUGGUUAUAUUUGAGUCAAACUCAGCAGUGUUGAUAAACAGCUGCAGGCUGGCAGGGACUUGGCUUGAUCCUGUUCUGGAGUGUUGUGAGCCCACAGAAGUCUGCAUCAUUUCAAAUUCCCAUUACAGGAAUUACUGAAGUUUGAAGCUUAGUUUGUUUGCAGAUACAAUUUUAUUGUGCACUUAAAUGUCUUCUUGGGAAACUGGGAAAUCUUGCGGCCUUGACAAUAGUACAUUAGAUUGACAAAAACUGUGUUAAGGAGGGGAGGCUGAAGUUGUGUAGACUGGAAGCAGCUCUGACUGCAGCAUGUUAAGCUUGCAUAGAAUUUUGUGAUGGCUCAGUGUUUGGAAAAUACUAACAAAAUUAUCUCUACUGGUCUUUCCCCAGGUAACCUGCAGAUAAAACAAUGCUGACAAAAUCAAAGCUUUUUUUUUUCAAUUAUUAUUAUUUUUUUAUUUUAUAUGGAAGCUACAACAUACUAAUAGAAUAUAUGUAUUUUUAAAUUUGUUUGUUUUAAAUAAAUGCACCUGGAAGUUUCCAGGCCACUUGUUUCAACUUAUUCCAGUGCUUUGUGUAAGCUCACAAGUACAAUUUUAUUGCUUGACACUCAAGCUUGUGUCUUCCAGAAGUGCUUGAAUGUCUUAAUUAUUAUAAUUAUGUGCAAUAUUUCAGUGCUGAAACCGAAAUUUUGUGCAAACUGACCUCUGCUCCAUGCAUUUAGCAGGAGCUUUUCCAUCAGCCUGCUUCACUUGAGGCUGGGCUGGAAACAGCAUUUUGCUGCCUGGAGGAGCCCAGUCCCCUGAGACCCUGCUGAUGUUGGUGUUGCAGCUCAGCCCAACUUCCCAGCUGUAGCUUCAAGGUGCCCUAAACCAAGAGGUGAAAAAAACCCACCCUGAUUAUGCUUUCCUGCCUCCUGUGUCACAGAGACAACUGCACCUAACAUGGGUUUAAUUCUUAAGGAAAACCCCAGUCUUACCUUUAUGUGAAAGUGAAGAAUCCUGAGUAUCACAUGAUUUUUAAAUCAGUGGUGAAAUUGUAAUACUAUUAGGGUCCCCAAGCUGGGACUGCCAAAUCCUUCUCCUCUCUUCCUGAAGUGGCUACCUUGUUCUGCUUAAAUUUUUGAGAAAAAAAGGUUGAUUAGGGACCUGCUACAGUAAAACCCUGAUUUGAGAAUAAAUUGUGACUCAUGUCUGACCUCUUCCCACAAUGGAAUUUUUUGGGAAGAGACAGCACCAGUCAAGGUGCUCCAGUAACCAGCACUGAAGUCAUUAGCACUUCAGUGAAAGUGGCAUCCCAGAAGAUGUACUCUGAGCAUGAGAAAAAUUAAUUGUGUAACCACGUUAAAGAUUUUGACUACAGGAGCCUAUUCUUGUCAUGCUAUUUUAAAAAAUAAAAUAGCCUAUGUUCAGAUAUAUUAGGUCUUUGAAGUGUUUUUGCCAGUGAUUCUUUGUAAGAUGAGAACUUGAAUUCACAAGUCUUGGAAAAAGCAGAGUGUGCUCUGGAGGUGUUAAAUUGAGUACAGUGUUUAAUCUCAACCUAAACUGAAGACCCUAGGAUGGAAGAGUAAAAUUAAAACAUAAGAUGCACUGAUUAAGAUGCUGCUGUAGGAUUCUUCUGUUAUAAACAGAACUCUCUCUGGGACUGAAUGGCCUCAAACCAGGGCCAAGAGACAUGUCUGGGGUACAAAGUUGAGAAGCGAGUAUUUUCUUUAUUCGGUGUGCUGGGUGCACGGGGAGAUCUCCUCCUGUGUGUAUAACCACGCACACAGGUGCACAGCAGAUUUCAAUGUAUGGUCAUACUUUAUGCAUAUUCAUAGUUUUCCUUAGAAAAGGUGUGGUAAUGCAAACUCUUAGAACUCAUCGUUAGCACGCGUGAAGCACGGGCGCAGUGCACCCCGCUGGUUGCCAGGAAGGCUCCACGUCUUCCCCUGGUGCAGGCUGGAUGUCUUCAUCCCCAUGCCCUUUUCACCUUUCUCCCCUAGCCAUGAGCAAUCUCUCAUUAGCUGUUUCAGGGGUUUUCUCGCUGGUUCUAGCAAACUGUCCUUUAUUUUUGCAAGUUCCGUUCCCUGCUUCUUGCCAAGUUUCAUCCUGUAUCUCUUGUCACUAAUUUUUGCUAGCUUCUAUAUUGGUUAAAAUGUAUUUUACUCUUGCCCAAGUAUGCCUAGAUACAAUCCUUUUAACCCUUUCAGGACUGAGACCUGAAUUUCAGAAAUCCAGGUGCUGGAAGUGGUUUCUGACUUCACUAGAGGGCAGCACAGCAUCACUUAUGGAACACACUCGGGUGUUGAAUGGUACUGACCAGUUUGUCCUGAGACAGCUCUGCUGAUGGGAGAGGGUUUGGUUGUGGUUAGCAAGUAAUUCUCUUUUCUCAUCAUCUCUGUAUGUUAUAAUUAAGUAAAGUUUAAGUGGUGUGACUUCAUCCAUAAAAUUAGUAAAUAAUUUCAAAUUAAAGAUUUCUGAAAAGGUAAAUUAAAAAACUGUUACCGAAUCUCACUGAAGGGGCUGUGAAGGAUUUUAAUGCUCCUGAGGCUGUUCCACUUUUUGCACAGUAUGCGCUUCUCCAGUGUACCCAUUUGAAAGCAAAAUGCCCAAAUCCAGUAAUUCAAAGCCAUACAGCAAGUCAUUGGCAGGUCUGGGGUUAGAAUUUGGGAAUUACUGGGUCCUGGACUUGUUUAUCUUAGCUGAACACAAGGAAUACCUGCUGUUUUUUCCAGCUCAUCUUGCUGACCUUUGGUUGUAAGAGGUCAAAAUUGGAUGAAGCAGGGGAGUAAAUGGAAAAAGUGUCAUAAAACCAAGGUUUUGUUUGCUCUUGUAUCACUGGAAAUGGCUUCAAAUAGUGGCCACUUCCAGAGAAAUAGAAAGAAAGAAAGAAAGAAAAGUUUAAAUGCUGCCCUCCCGGCCAGCUGAUGACAGACGUGGAGGAGGGGCAGCAGAUUCCCCCUUGAGCUGCGUUGAGUCCCAGGUGCCAUUGGCACAUCAUAAAACACAGAGCAGCACACGGGUCCCAGGGUAACUUUAUUUGAUGGUAAAAGUUCCCCUCUUCAUCCUGGGAGGAACAGGAACAGGGGGGCAGACAGAAGUUUAUAUCUGGGGGCAGGUCUCAGGGGAGGGUACAAUCUUUAACAAAUCAGGAGAAUUGGGAGCAAAAAACCAGGCAGGAGCCACAAUGUAUCAACCAAUAGAAAUUCCAAGGGAGGAGAACAGUUUCAGUAAACUGACAAAGUUUGGGGAAAUAGAAACUAGAAACUAACAACAAGAAAGUGACGAAAGUUCUAGGAAAAGGCGGGAACAAAAAGGAAACAACAUAAUGAAAACGCCCACAUUACAAAUCAAACUAUUAACCUACUAAUAAACAGCGCAAUACAACAGUUAAACAUUUAUUUCUUGCAAAAUGUGUGAUGCAAGUUGCAAAUUUUAAGCUUUGCUGAGUAACUGCACUGCAGAAAAGUUUAAGCUUUGUACUAAAUAACUUAAUUCUUGCUGCUGCAUAUUUAUCUUCUGGAAGACACAGCUUAUUACCCCAUCAAAUAUAAAAUAGGGAAGACUUGCUCUGAGAAAUAAAGGAAACCGCAAGGUACCAGUUGAAUUCUGUAGUGGGUUUUGAGCAAUGACACUUUCCUGUACUUAGAAGGUCGUAAAGGUUGGAUGAUAGGCAAGAAGCUGAAACUAGUGUCUGGAGAUAUUUAUUUGGAAAGGUGAAUUACUGUAAAGUACACACUUUGCAGUACUCUUGUUCUGAAAACGUCAGCUCUUUAUCAGUUUGCAAAGUGUUAAAAGUGCUUAAGCUUCUGACCUAUUUAAAAUUUCUGUGUUUAUUUCUUUUUGUUCCUAGCAUGGCUUUUUUCUUCCAGCAUGGCUUUUUGUUCCUCAGCACUGCUAAGCUCCAGUUCUUUUAAUGAAUUAUUUCUCUGCUUUUCUGUCACUGAUAUUUUACGAAAAAUCCCUUCACCAGGAUUUCUUCUGAGAAGCUGAGAAGCCUCAGAAAAGAAAUGUAAACAAUAAUUAUCUGAUUGCUUUCCAAUGUGGUCUGGAGAUCGUUUACCAACAGGUGCAUCUUUGAUUGGUUCCGUGUGAAUUGUUUUUACUUAAUGACCAAUCCCAGUCUAACUUUGCCAGACUCUCUGGUCUGUCACGGGUUUUUAUUAUUCAUGCCUUUCCUAGCCUUCUGUCUGUAUCUUUUCUCUAUUCUUUUUAGUAUAGCUUUAGUGUAGCAUUCUUUAAUGUAAUAUAAUAUCAUAAUAUAAUUGGCAUUGGGCAGGUCGCGGGAGGCGAUCGGGGCACGCGUCAGGAGGGGCCGUGCCCUGUCUCUGCCGCCGGCGGGCAGGGUCACGGUUCGGCUGGCUCGGGGCGUGGGUUCAACACCUAAGGAUUCAUGGCAAAGGAAAUAAGGAAGGACCCUGUGCUUGCUUCUCUGAGCUGCUUUUAUCUCUCUCCUGCGCGAGGAUGGUGCUGCCGGGGUGGCACCGCUUGGGGUUGGCAGCGUGGCUUUCCCGUGGUGGCAGCAGCGCCAGCACGAGGCAGAUGAUGUGACUGUCCCUGUCUCUGUCUCUGUCUCUG